This 205-nucleotide ribosomal RNA is filed under the name uncultured bacterium. RNAcentral describes it as "partial 16S ribosomal RNA". It matches the Rfam family "Bacterial small subunit ribosomal RNA", at positions 28 to 225 of the family's 1533-position model. The record is from RNAcentral.
GACGAACGCUGGCGGCGCGCCUAACACAUGCAAGUCGAGCGAGAACCGGGACUUCGGUCCCGGGGACAGCGGCGAACGGGUGAGUAACACGUGGAUAACCUGCCCUCGGCACCGGAAUAGCCCGGGGAAACUCGGAUUAAUGCCGGAUAGCCCCACAUCCCUGCGGGGAACGUGGGAAAAGGUAGCUUCGGCCUCUGGCCGAGGA